Molecule: ribosomal RNA, 252 nt
Filed under: uncultured bacterium
Lineage: Bacteria
Description: partial 16S ribosomal RNA
Rfam family: Bacterial small subunit ribosomal RNA
Source: RNAcentral
UACGGGGGAUGCGAGCGUUAUCCGGAUUUAUUGGGUUUAAAGGGUGCGCAGGCGGCGUGUCAAGUCAGCGGUAAAAUGUCGGGGCUCAACCCCGGCCGGCCGUUGAAACUGGCGUGCUCGAGUUGGAGAGAAGUAUGCGGAAUUCGUGGUGUAGCGGUGAAAUGCAUAGAUAUCACGAAGAACCCCGAUUGCGAAGGCAGCAUACCGGCUCCACACUGACGCUGAGGCACGAAAGCGUGGGUAUCGAACAGG